This 526-nucleotide ribosomal RNA is filed under the name uncultured fungus. RNAcentral's name for it is "eukaryotic LSU rRNA". The stretch from base 163 to 315 matches the Rfam family "5.8S ribosomal RNA". The record is from RNAcentral. Lineage: Eukaryota; Fungi.
AAGUCAUAACAAGGUUUCCGUAGGUGAACCUGCGGAAGGAUCAUUAGUGAUUGGGCGUGAGCCGUUACAGUUCCUCACACCUGUGAACCCGUCGGCGCCGGUCUCUGGCCCGAUACUUUACAAUACAAUGUGUAAUGAACGUGAAUGUAUCAUAACAAACAAAACUUUCAACAACGGAUCUCUUGGCUCUCGCAUCGAUGAAGAACGCAGCGAAAUGCGAUAAGUAAUGUGAAUUGCAGAAUUCAGUGAAUCAUCGAAUCUUUGAACGCACCUUGCGCCCUUGGUAUUCCGAGGGGCAUGCCUGUUUGAGUGUCAUGAGACAUCAAUCCCCACAGGUUUUCCGCCCGUGGUGGACUUGGAAUUGGGCGUCUGCUCCCCAGGCUCGCCUCAAAUGUAUCAGUGGGACACCUCGGACCUACGCCUGACGUGAUAAGUUUCGUCAUCGGCUGGCCCGCGGUGCCCGCUUACAACCCACACACUCUUGACAAUUGACCUCAAAUCAGGUAGGGCUACCCGCUGAACUUAA